Molecule: ribosomal RNA, 975 nt
Filed under: uncultured Clostridiales Family XIV bacterium
Lineage: Bacteria; Bacillati; Bacillota; Clostridia; Eubacteriales; Clostridiales Family XIV. Incertae Sedis
Description: bacterial SSU rRNA
Rfam family: Bacterial small subunit ribosomal RNA
Source: RNAcentral
GGAGCUCUCCCNUAUGGUCGACCUGCAGGCGGCCGCGAAUUCACUAGUGAUUAGAGUUUGAUCCUGGCUCAGGAUGAACGCUGGCGGCGUGCCUAACACAUGCAAGUCGAACGAAGCAAUUUAACGGAAGUUUUCGGAUGGAAGUUGAAUUGACUGAGUGGCGGACGGGUGAGUAACGCGUGGGUAACCUGCCUUGUACUGGGGGACAACAGUUAGAAAUGACUGCUAAUACCGCAUAAGCGCACAGUAUCGCAUGAUACAGUGUGAAAAACUCCGGUGGUACAAGAUGGACCCGCGUCUGAUUAGCUAGUUGGUAAGGUAACGGCUUACCAAGGCGACGAUCAGUAGCCGACCUGAGAGGGUGACCGGCCACAUUGGGACUGAGACACGGCCCAAACUCCUACGGGAGGCAGCAGUGGGGAAUAUUGCACAAUGGGCGAAAGCCUGAUGCAGCGACGCCGCGUGAGUGAAGAAGUAUUUCGGUAUGUAAAGCUCUAUCAGCAGGGAAGAAAAUGACGGUACCUGACUAAGAAGCCCCGGCUAACUACGUGCCAGCAGCCGCGGUAAUACGUAGGGGGCAAGCGUUAUCCGGAUUUACUGGGUGUAAAGGGAGCGUAGACGGUAAAGCAAGUCUGAAGUGAGAGCCCGCGGCUCAACUGCGGGACUGCUUUGGAAACUGUUUAACUGGAGUGUCGGAGAGGUAAGUGGAAUUCCUAGUGUAGCGGUGAAAUGCGUAGAUAUUANGAGGAACACCAGUGGCGAANGCGACUUACUGGACGAUAACUGACGUUGAGGCUCGAAAGCGUGGGGAGCAAACAGGAUUAGAUACCCUGGNAGUCCACGCCGUAAACGAUGAAUACUANGUGUUGGGGAGCAAAGCUCUNCNGUGCCGUCNCNNCGCANUNNUAUUCCACCUGGGGAGUACGUUCGCAAGANUGAAACUCAAAGGAAUUGACGGGNACCCNGCACAAGCGG